GUUAGGAAUAUUGGGCAAUGGGCGAAAGCCUGACCCAGCCACGCCGCGUGAGUGAUGAAGGCCUUCGGGUUGUAAAGCUCUGUGGGGAGGGAAGAAAAAGCGGGAGAGUAACUGCUCUCGUGUUGACGGUACCUCCUUAGCAAGCACCGGCUAACUCUGUGCCAGCAGCCGCGGUAAUACAGAGGGUGCAAACGUUGCUCGGAAUUACUGGGCGUAAAGCGCGUGUAGGCUGACAUGCAAGUCGGGUGUGAAAUCCCAGGGCUCAACCUUGGAACUGCACUCGAAACUGCACGGCUUGAGUACUGGAGAGGGAAGCGGAAUUCCGGGUGUAGAGGUGAAAUUCGUAGAUAUCCGGAGGAACACCAGUGGCGAAGGCGGCUUCCUGGACAGUAACUGACGCUGAGACGCGAAAGCGUGGGGAGCAAACAGGAUUAGAAACCCGAGUAGUCC
Molecule: ribosomal RNA, 450 nt
Filed under: uncultured bacterium
Lineage: Bacteria
Description: partial 16S ribosomal RNA
Rfam family: Bacterial small subunit ribosomal RNA
Source: RNAcentral